This is a long non-coding RNA of Nicotiana tabacum (common tobacco), 2118 nucleotides long. RefSeq lists it as uncharacterized. The record is from RefSeq and is a predicted model, not a curated record. NCBI's taxonomy places the organism in Eukaryota, Viridiplantae, Streptophyta, Magnoliopsida, Solanales, Solanaceae.
GUUUUUGGUCAGCAACUCCCACUCGCUGCCAGAAGAGCGUACCUGCACACUCCAUCUCAGAAGCUAUCUCACCUGUUCCUUUCUCCAUUCUUCUUCAUCAUCACCACCUUGUUUAACACAGUCCAACAUGGACCCUACCCCCCAAAACUGCCUAUCUCUUCUUUGUUGUUUAACACAAUACAAUUACCCAUUUUGAUUCUUUUAUCUAACCAACUAAAUUUUCUUUUAAAAGUACUUUUUAUGUAUUGCUAAAUUUUCAUAUGGCUCAUUUUGGCUAAAUUUAUCAAGCCUGCCCAAGUUGGUCCAAGUAUUUAGAUAAACUUUACCAAAUUGCAACUGAAAUUUGUACUCCAUGGAAAUGCAGAGGAAAUUCACGGCAAGAGAAGAUCAAGACGGAGUGAGUGAUUUGCCUGACGCAAUUCUACUUCACAUUCUCUCUAUGUUGUGGAAUCCUAAAGAAGUUGUGAGAAGUAGCGUAUUAUCUAGACGAUGGAGGUUUCUUUGGGUGUCCGUUCCACUGUCACUCUAUUUCAACUUCCCUAUUAGCGAAAGCGAAAAGGAUACUCUUGAUUACAUGGCUUCCACCCAUUGAGAGCUUCAUUAUUGGAGGAAUUGCCAGAAAAUUCUGAAAUUCAGGGUGUGGGGCCUUAGAUACGAGGACCGUAUGCUAAUGAUAUUGAUUUAUGGGUACAAUUUGCAACUAAACUAGCUAAUGUUGAAAGUUUUACACUUGGAUUUUGGUCUACGGAUCAACCGGGAUAUGAUUUUCCUCAAUUUGCAUAUAAGAAUGCGCCCUUGAGGAAAUUGCAUAUAUAGUCUCGUUUCUCUUUCAUUUGGGGACCUGCAAUUGACUGACGAUAUCAUGGAAAAGGUAUUCUCCGGUUGCCCUCCCUAACUUGGAGUGCUUGGUACUAGAUGCUAUUUGGGGCAUUUAUCAUUUGGAAAUCAGCUCCGUGAAGCUGAGAGAAUUGACCAUACAAGAUUACGGAAAUGAGAAUCAUGAUCUUUGGCUCGAUAUAUUAGCCCCGUAUAUUCAAAAUUUGCAACUUUUGGGGGUGCUGCUGUGAGUUACGCAUGCGGCAGAGAAUUGUGGCUUCACUUGUCACUGCAGUCCUUCGCUUAGAGUUUGCGUUUGACGAUGUAGAAGGCAACUUGGAGAAGGAGUGUAGAUAUUUGAAGGAACUUCUUCACAGUGCUGCCCAUGUCGAGAAUCUUGAAUUGGGUCCCUGGUGCACGAGUUCCUGUCCAUACUGGAGUUGAGAGGGUGGCAGCCUCCACCAUCAAGCUGGAAAUUCUUAGAACUUCCAUCCUUACAAGAGUUGGACUUUCCUGGAAUUUGCAGCUUUCUACAGAGUUCAUCGGAUCUUGAGACAUUGGUCAUUAACUGGUGGUUUGAUGACGAAGCUAGAUUCCUGCUGUCAAGUUACAUAAAUGAGGAUGAACAGAGCAGGAGGUUUGAAACACGUAAUUUUAUUUAUUUUUUGAUAAUCGUGGUGUCCGGGCCAGCUUGCGCGCAGCUCGACUAAUUCCAUGAGAUACCUGCCACCUCCCACCAGCAACAGGUACCAGGUAACUCUAUCCACCAAGGCUUGGAUCGAUGGGAAGAAAUAACCUAGUAUUUGCCUCCGCUGGGUUUGAAACACGUAAUUUUAACUGCUCAUUUCUACAUCUGAAGACCAUCGAGAUCAUUAACUUUCAUGGAUCACUAAGUGAAAAUAAGUCUGUGAUACCAUUGGUAAAAUAUUUUCUAAAGCAUGCAACUGUGCUUGAAAAGUUCGUCAUUGACGCCAUAUUCGAAGGGAGUGAUGUUCUCCAGAUUAUGUUAUAAUGGCACAGGAGUUCCUAAGCUUUCCAAGAUCCUCUCCGCAUGCUUCAAUUGUCUUUUAUUAUCGAUAAUUUUUGGCCCCUCUCGUUCGUAUUGAUUACAACAUACUUAAUUAGCUGUUACUUUAUGUUAGAAAACUGGUUAUGUAGCUGAUAAACAAGGUUAGGAUUGUACUUUUCAGUGUCCAAGGAGUUGUUAAUAUUUGUUCAGUCUAAGUAACAGCUGUGUUUAUUCUCUAAUCAUGUAAGGAAGCAUGCUCUAAAUGUUUUGGAAUUUCUAUUCAUAUUGCUGAA